RNAcentral lists this transfer RNA (70 nucleotides) under Dipodomys ordii (Ord's kangaroo rat). It matches the Rfam family "tRNA". Rfam says of the family: Transfer RNA (tRNA) molecules are approximately 80 nucleotides in length. The record is from Rfam by way of RNAcentral. Lineage: Eukaryota; Metazoa; Chordata; Mammalia; Rodentia; Heteromyidae.
GGGAAUGUGGCUCAGCUGUAGAGUGUUUGCCUGGCAUGCAUGAAGCCCUGGGUUCAAUUCCUCAGUGCCA